CAAUGCCUCCUACUCAGUCUCAUCUCUGCUCUGCCUCAAAGGCGGUGGAUCCCUCCACUUGGGAAACGACAGAGCUCGCACUUGAACCCGGGGCCUGCCCAGCCCAGAGGCCACGUUCCUCCCACUUCCCUUUCCACUUGGAAGAAGGCCGGGUGGGGCCGAGCUGGUCCAUGCCAGGAACGACCUUAAAACUAAUCUCUGGUCUUGGGCUGGGACAGUCCUGAGACUCACUCACUCCUGGUGGCGCCAACCCUGCUGGCCUGACUCACAGCCACACGAACCCCGUGAGCCCGAGAGAGACACCGGAAUGCCCGUUUCCCAGCUGACUUCCCGGGACAGGCAGAGGAACCAGUGUCAGCAAGGUCAGCGUGUCCCCUUCCUGCGCACAGAUGACGUGGGAAGCCAGAAUCCAAAGUCUCCCUUGGGCUCAGCAUUCAGAUCCUAACAGACAAGCUUUAUUGAGGACCUCCUGCCUUCCUCUGGAGAAAUGGCCUUUCAUUCUGAACUUCAUCACCCAAAAGUUCCUCGUCUCUCAGAGUGACUGGCAUCUAGAUCACCAUGUUCCUGCAGAGCCCCGUCGGCUACACAGAGACACAAGGUUAAAACCCGGUCUGCACCUUGCCCCAGUGGACAGAACUAAAACCCCCAACAAAUGAAGACCAGAGAGGGGAGCACAGAACAGUCCCGGGGCCACGAAACACCACCUCUGAAGAAGGUCGAAAGCUCGCAUCUACCCGGAUCCUAAUCUGCAGCCCUAUUUUCCACUCCCAAAUUCUAAAAUCACUUCCUAUUCUCUCCCAAAAGAGGGCACGGUCUUUGGGGCACGAGCCUGCUGUGGCCUCCUUUGCCUGGUAAAGCAAUAAAGCUAUUUUUU
This is a long non-coding RNA of Phacochoerus africanus (Common warthog), 874 nucleotides long. RefSeq lists it as uncharacterized. The transcript is spliced from 4 exons. NCBI's taxonomy places the organism in Eukaryota, Metazoa, Chordata, Mammalia, Artiodactyla, Suidae. The record is from RefSeq and is a predicted model, not a curated record.